RNAcentral lists this ribosomal RNA (551 nucleotides) under uncultured bacterium. RNAcentral describes it as "bacterial SSU rRNA". It matches the Rfam family "Bacterial small subunit ribosomal RNA", at positions 355 to 896 of the family's 1533-position model. The record is from RNAcentral.
UAGGGAAUCUUCCACAAUGGACGCAAGUCUGAUGGAGCAACGCCGCGUGAGUGAAGAAGGUUUUCGGAUCGUAAAACUCUGUUGUUAGAGAAGAACGUGUGUGAGAGUAACUGUUCAUGCAGUGACGGUAUCUAACCAGAAAGCCACGGCUAACUACGUGCCAGCAGCCGCGGUAAUACGUAGGGUGCAAGCGUUAUCCGGAAUUAUUGGGCGUAAAGAGCUCGUAGGCGGUUUGUCGCGUCUGGUGUGAAAGUCCAUCGCUUAACGGUGGAUCUGCGCCGGGUACGGGCAGGCUGGAGUGCAGUAGGGGAGACUGGAAUUCCCGGUGUAACGGUGGAAUGUGUAGAUAUCGGGAAGAACACCAAUGGCGAAGGCAGGUCUCUGGGCUGUUACUGACGCUGAGGAGCGAAAGCGUGGGGAGCGAACAGGAUUAGAUACCCUGGUAGUCCACGCCGUAAACGGUGGAUGCUGGAUGUGGGGCCCAUUCCACGGGUUCCGUGUCGGAGCUAACGCGUUAAGCAUCCCGCCUGGGGAGUACGGCCGCAAGGCUG